This 121-nucleotide small nucleolar RNA is filed under the name Eutrema salsugineum. Its description in RNAcentral is "Plant small nucleolar RNA R71". It matches the Rfam family "Plant small nucleolar RNA R71". From Rfam's summary of the family: R71 is a member of the C/D box family of snoRNAs containing the C (UGAUGA) and D (CUGA) box motifs. Multiple nearly identical copies of this snoRNA have been identified in Arabidopsis, and it is thought to function as a 2'-O-ribose methylation guide for 18S ribosomal RNA. The record is from Rfam by way of RNAcentral. Lineage: Eukaryota; Viridiplantae; Streptophyta; Magnoliopsida; Brassicales; Brassicaceae.
AACCCAUGAUGUGGACACUGAUUGGUGUAGCUUCUAAACCGCUCAAGCUUCUAAACCGCUCAAGCUUCCCCAAAGCUUUCAUUGUUGUGCUGGGUAAAGUUUGAUAUCUGGUUUCUCGGUU